UCACUCACAAGAACAAGCUAAAACUUUGCACAAAUCUCUCCUCAUGUUUCAAGUCACUUUUUAUUUUUCUUUAUUUAGGAAAACUUUUAAUGUUUAUUGUUUAUUUAAUUUUCUUUGCACAUUAUUCUUGCUACACUUAAUUAGUAUCUUAAUUAUCAUUAUUUUGCAUGAGAACUCCAUUGAUUCAAAAUCAAGAGUGUAAAGUAUUCUUGAACCUUAAUGAGCAAAAGUGAUUAAAUGUGAAUUAAUUUUUAUUUUUUUCGUGACUUAUUUUUGUUUAAUUCUGAGCAUUCCAUGAUGUUCGUGAGAUAGAGUAAAUGAUAUUUCGUUAUUCAUUUGCUUAAUUCCAUAGAAAAUUAAGCAAGUUAUGGUCAAAAUAAGGAUGCAUGUUGUUGUUGAAGACAAAUCCAUAUUAAAUUCCGACCAUCCGUUACUUUUUUUAUAUUGGCUUCAAUGCACUUUUGAUUCCCCUACUUUGUUGUAUUUUAAUUUGAGUUUAAUUGAAAU
RNAcentral lists this long non-coding RNA (507 nucleotides) under Lathyrus oleraceus (garden pea). RNAcentral's name for it is "Pisum sativum (pea) long non-coding RNA (PSAT_LNC018622)". The record is from RNAcentral. Lineage: Eukaryota; Viridiplantae; Streptophyta; Magnoliopsida; Fabales; Fabaceae.